CACCGUACGGGGGCGUACCAGUUUACUUUCACCUCGAGGUAAGGGGGUGGGGCUGCAAGCUCCAGUGGCUCUGCGGCAUCCUUACACAGCAGUAUGGUAAGGGGGCCUGGCAGGGCUGGGAGGAGGGGUUGGAUAAGGGACAGGGAGUGGGGAGAGGGGGGCAGUCAGGG
Long non-coding RNA from Gopherus evgoodei (Goodes thornscrub tortoise), 170 nucleotides. RefSeq lists it as uncharacterized. The transcript has 3 exons. Lineage: Eukaryota; Metazoa; Chordata; Testudines; Testudinidae. The record is from RefSeq and is a predicted model, not a curated record.